CCUACGGGGGGCAGCAGUGAGGAAUAUUGGUCAAUGGGCGCUAGCCUGAACCAGCCAAGUAGCGUGAAGGAUGACUGCCCUAUGGGUUGUAAACUUCUUUUAUAGGGGAAUAAAGUGCAGUAUGUAUACGGCUUUGCAUGUACCUUAUGAAUAAGGAUCGGCUAACUCCGUGCCAGCAGCCGCGGUAAUACGGAGGAUCCGAGCGUUAUCCGGAUUUAGUGGGGUUAAAGGGAGCGGAGGCGGGUUGUUAAGUCAGUGGUGAAAGUUGGCGGCUCAACCGUAAAAUUGCAGUUGAUACUGGCAUCCUUGAGUACAGUAGAGGUAGGCGGAAUUCGUGGUGUAGCGGU
This 347-nucleotide ribosomal RNA is filed under the name uncultured bacterium. Its description in RNAcentral is "partial 16S ribosomal RNA". It matches the Rfam family "Bacterial small subunit ribosomal RNA", at positions 338 to 682 of the family's 1533-position model. The record is from RNAcentral.